GUAGCUGUAGCUCAGCUGGUAGAGCGCAUUCUUGGUGCAGGCCGUUGCCGGUUCGAAACCGGCCAGCUACC
Molecule: transfer RNA, 71 nt
Filed under: Yimella lutea
Lineage: Bacteria; Bacillati; Actinomycetota; Actinomycetes; Micrococcales; Dermacoccaceae
Description: tRNA-Pro
Rfam family: tRNA
About the family: Transfer RNA (tRNA) molecules are approximately 80 nucleotides in length.
Source: RNAcentral